Molecule: long non-coding RNA, 758 nt
Organism: Corythoichthys intestinalis (scribbled pipefish)
Lineage: Eukaryota; Metazoa; Chordata; Actinopteri; Syngnathiformes; Syngnathidae
Exons: 3
Source: RefSeq, a predicted model, not a curated record
GUAACACGCAACGCUAUUGGCGGCCAUUUUACAACAUGGAACGCUACUGGCUGCCAUACCAAGUAGUGGGCGAACGCUAUUGGCUGCCAUUCUAAUAAAUGGGAGAACGCUAUUGGCUGGCACUCCAAAGAAUGAACCUCGACAUUACUCGCUCGCAGGUCCGAACAUAUUACAAAAGGUCCGAACGGCAACGAAACAAAAGGUCAUAGGUCAUAACACUUCAAAUGUGGGUCCGAAGACUUCAGAACGUAAGUCCUAACGAGAGUCCCGGACAUAGGGAGGCGAAAGAAGAAGGCUUCGCCACCACAAGGUUUCGCGUUUCCGCCAUAUUUUCCACCGCAAUAAAGAAACAAUAGGACAAAGUCAAUUGACAUGACACAUUCCCCAUUUACUGCAUCACGUCUUCUCUAAGGGGGCCGUCCUACACUCCGCUUCAUUUAUUAGCAGUUGGUCACAUGCAGCGAUCAUGUCCCUCCCGUCUUCGGAGAAUGUAAACAAAUCAAGAGGUAUCAGCUACCCGGCAUGCUAACCCAAACUGAGUAACGUCUCAAAGUCUUAUUUUUGCUGUUUGAAGCAAAAAAUCACACAAAACUAGCCUGGAUCAUGUCACAUGGCGGCGGGGUUGUCGAUAGUCUUCGCCGAUCGGCAACCCGCCCGGCGGCGAGCAAGUUACAGCUUGUUCCCCUGCUACGGACAGGAGAGCUCGCCGGGGAAGCAGCUGGAGAGUACAUUUUCGGUGGACAAUCAGGCACAAAAUG